UCUUUCAACAUACCAUUAUUGUACUAGGCAUUGCUUAGUUUACACGCUUUGCCAUUUGUUUGUCUGUACUUGUCAGCUUGGCUUAGUUUACACGCCUUGCUAUUAUUUCAGCAUAUCAUUGCUGUAUUAGGCAUUGCUUAGUUGACACGCUUUGCCAUUUGUUUGUCUGUACUGGUCAGCUUGGCUUAGUUUACACGCCUUGCUAUUAUUUCAGCAUACCAUUGCUGUAUUAGGCAUUGCUUAGUUGACACGCUUUGCCAUUUGUUUGUCUGUACUGGUCGGCUUGGCUUAGUUUACACGCCUUGCUAUUAUUUCAGCAUACCCUUGCUGUAUUAGGCAUUGCUUAGUUGACACGCUUUGCCAUUUGUUUGUCUGUACUGGUCAGCUUGGCUUAGUUUACACGCCUUGAUAUUAUUUCAGCAUACCAUUGCUGUAUUAGGCAUUGCUUAGUUGACACGCUUUGCCAUUUGUUUGUCUGUACUGGUCAGCUUGGCUUAGUUUACACGCCUUGAUAUUAUUUCAGCAUACCAUUGCUGUAUUAGGCAUUGCUUAGUUGACGCGAUUUGCCUUCAUUCAUAAAUUUUAAUAGUGUGCAUUGCUUAGUUUAAAUGCUUUGCAAUUUGUUUUCAAGUCUCAAAUUAUGUACUGUCUUGUCAGCUUGGCUUAGUUUAUUUUAUCCAUUCUGCACGGCUGAUGCUUUAAUUUGAUAUGAAAUUGGAUUUUAAUUGUACAUAGAUACAUUGUCACAUCAUGCCAGAAGUUCUUUUUCAAAUUAAUCAUGUAUGGGAAUUUUUUAACCCUACUAGCCCGCGCAAGAAAAAUGUCCAAUAUCUAGUCAGGAACGACAGCCUUUAUAAAAGGCCGCGGGAGAUUUCCACAUCAUGUCUUAAAUACAUAAGUUUUUUAUUAAUCUAGGUUACAGUUUUACACUUUAAUUUUUCGUAAUUUAAGAUCUGUCGGUAUAAGGCAGCAGAUCUUUAUAUAUAGAAAAAGCAGUGAAUUACAGCAAACUGAGUGCCAUUACAAUCUUUCAAAUUACUGACAGUUCAAGGCUGCAGUACGUUGGACAUACUGUAGGUCACAGUUUUCCACUUUUAUUUUGGUAAUUUAUGAUCUGUCGGUAUAAGGCAGCAGUUCUUUAGAUAUUAUAAAAAAGACAGUGAAUUACUGCAAACUGAGUGUCAUUACAAUCUUUCAAAUAACUGACAGUUCAAGGCUGCAGUUUUCUCCUUGCUGACGGUGCAAGGCCGAAGUUUAUUUCUUUCGUGCCAUAAUAAUGUGUAUGACGGUAUUCCUAUUCAUGUAUAUCUUGUGGCAGAUAUGCACAAUUUGGCUUCAUAAAGGUUUUAUAAAUCUGACAGUACAAGGCUGCAGUUUUCUCCUUGCUGACGGUGCAAGGCUGAAGUUUAUUUCUUUCGUGCCAUAAUAAUGUGUAUGACGGUAUUCCUAUUCAUGUAUAUCUUGUGGCAGAUAUGCACAAUUUGGCUUCAUAAAGGUUUUAUAAAUCUGACAGUACAAGGCUGCAGGUUUCUUAAUUAAUCAUACAUAUAAUUUCAGAUUGUGUUCAUGCUACUGCAUGAUAUUAAUAUCACUAGUUGAAUGGAUUUAUGUAAAUGUUAAAAGUACAUUUGUACUGAAGGUUUUUAUGUAUUAUUGUAGAAAUGUUUACAUUCACAUCUUGUUCAAAGGUCUUGUUACUUUAUAAUUUUUUGGAAGAGUCUAGUCUUGUAUAGAAACUUUUUCUAUUUAUCCUUACUUAAUACAUUAAUUUAUAUUUUUCAUGCAACAAUCAUAUAAUGAACAAAUUAACAUUAGACACGUCAGACUCACAUGUAUUUAGGUCAAAUGCAUAAAUAAGGUUUAAUUAGAUAUUUUACAAUUUUGAUUUCAAUUCUACAUUAGGUCUUAACUGAUAAUUGGAAAAAUGUAUAGCGAACAAAUUGACAUUUACAUCUAUUUUGGUUUAAUGCAUUUUAAAGGUUUAACGAAUAAAUGAUUCAAAAGAAUUGGCAUAUCCGCUAGGACUUACGCAAAUUGAAGAUACUAACUGAAAUUCAAUGUCACAUACCUUACAUAGGAGAUGUGUAUGUUUAAAUGUCUAAGGUGCCACGCACUGUUGACAUACUCCAGUCUAUGCAUUUAAAAUUUUAAUUUACAAUCUACUAGCCCAAAUUCAGUUUUGAAUUCAUACUACUAUAUAUUUAACUAAAUUUUUGUAUAUUUUUCACUUCAUGAACUAGUUUCACAGGCUAGGGGCCUGUGCUAACUUUGAUGAUGCAACUUGGAAGCCAUGGCCAUGCAAUUUUGGCUGUUCACCAUUGAAGGAUAUCUGGUUGCUGAUACAAUAAUAAUCCAUUCCUAAUUUCUAAUUUAAAAAAGAAUUUUUUCUAGUUUCAUUGUUAUUGAUGACUAGUAUAUCUUGUAACAAUUUUCCAUUACACAUAGUUUGAAACUAUAAAUUUGAUUCAUACCUCUAUUUGUUACAAUCAGUUUAGACGUUGAAACAGUCCGGAUAAUGCAUACUGUCAGAUGUCUCAAUAAUACAUAUAUAAUGUAAUUGUUAUAAGUAUUUUCACAGCUAAUUAUUUGGUCUAUUAACUCAGUUGCUGGUUUACAAUAGCAUAUCCUGUAAUGUGCCUGACAGUUUAAGGCUGCAGUCCACAUAUAUUUAAAGAACAAGUCAGGAUCCAUUUAAAUGUUAGACAUUAAUUCUACACAUAUUAUAAUAUUGUCAUUAGAUAUAUGAUUUGUCGUAACAUUUUUGUCCUAACAUGACUUGAUUAAAUUAAUGGUAACUUCGGCAAAUUUAGCCCCUCUGUUUCAAUCCUUAUUACAGGUCAAGCUCAUCCCUAGUCAAGUCUCCCUGGGUGGCGGAAGGUUCCCUUUGUGGCGGUUUUUACCUCCCAGUUUGGUUAUUUCGAUACAAAUAUGUACAUGCCAUGUUUGUUAUUAUGUAACAUUUGUCAUGUUUGUUAUUAUGUAACAUUUGUCAUUUAUGGCAUUUAAUAAAUGCCCUAUUUCAUUCAA
This is a long non-coding RNA of Ruditapes philippinarum (Manila clam), 3027 nucleotides long. RefSeq lists it as uncharacterized. The record is from RefSeq and is a predicted model, not a curated record. The transcript has 2 exons. Lineage: Eukaryota; Metazoa; Mollusca; Bivalvia; Venerida; Veneridae.